ACAACCAUAUCAUUUUGGAAUACCAGUUCUUGUUUGAUCACAAAAGUUAAGCAACAUCUGAGCCUGGUCUGUACUUAAAUGGGUGACUGCUUGGGAAUACCAGGUACUGUAAG
Non-coding RNA from Acanthosepion pharaonis, 113 nucleotides. NCBI's taxonomy places the organism in Eukaryota, Metazoa, Mollusca, Cephalopoda, Sepiida, Sepiidae. The record is from the annotation of a GenBank genome assembly.